This 371-nucleotide long non-coding RNA is filed under the name Marmota monax (woodchuck). Lineage: Eukaryota; Metazoa; Chordata; Mammalia; Rodentia; Sciuridae. The record is from RNAcentral.
ACUGUCAUUCAUUUCUCCCCCUUUUCUCCUGUCUUUUUCCUCCAGGAAGGAAGGACACCAUCACAGAGAAACCUAUCCCGCCUGCAGAACCUGCUGAACCCGUGCUCUGCGGCAGUAUGGCCAUAGGAGCUGUGUCACUAGCUAUUGCCAAAACCAGCGCCAUACUGGGCAGUAUUCCUCUGUACUUGAACAUUGCAUUGCUGAAGCACAAUCAGGUUAGGAUCUGUUUUAUUCCACCAUGAGAAGCCCUGAGGGGCUCAAUGUGAAUGAAUCACAUUUCUCAUUUUCCCCUUCUUUCCUCUUAUUUUAGGAACAGCCAACAACACUAACUAUGCCUUUGCUGAUGGUAUCUCUCACCAGCUGUGGGAAGU